UAUGAGCCAUGCCCUGAGGAAGAAGA
This 26-nucleotide non-coding RNA is filed under the name Mus musculus (house mouse). Lineage: Eukaryota; Metazoa; Chordata; Mammalia; Rodentia; Muridae. The record is from RNAcentral.